Molecule: long non-coding RNA, 968 nt
Organism: Exaiptasia diaphana
Lineage: Eukaryota; Metazoa; Cnidaria; Anthozoa; Actiniaria; Aiptasiidae
Exons: 2
Source: RefSeq, a predicted model, not a curated record
AAAAAAACGACUCACUCUGGGUAGCUCAGGACUCUUUGGCCUCCAUGAACUGACAACUAGGGGAGGGCCUAGUCCAGCUCUCGUUAUCUCUACGGGAGGGGAAGGGCAAAAUAUUUUGCUUGUACAGCGGCCUGCACGAGUUGUCCAGCCAUAUUGGAUUAAUAUUUCAGUAUUUUAUUCUUUACGACGGCUUUAUACAUCUUUGGUAAGAGGUGUAUGUACCUAAAUAGCAUGAUGCCUACAAUAUUUAAGCAAGAUGGACAAAGAGGUCUUUGAAGGCUAGGGGUUUCUUUGUGAUUCUGUGAAACAUUCGAUCGAUCAGUCAGGAUGUCAACGAGAACACAACUUAUAGAAAGCUUGCAGGAAAUCUUCUUUCAUUGAUGGAAAAACUGAAGUAAUACAGAACAAAUUGAUUUUCACUAGUUGGAAUCCAAGCAAACUAUACGUAUGUAUACGUACAUGUCAGUUUAUCUACAUUGUGUAACACUGGGUUUUAGAGUUAUUUUCGAUAGAGGCACAGGAAGCCCAAGCCAUAACUUUGAAUAGACUUAAUGAUUAUAUGUAGGUCUGUCUACUCAAGUCAUUGCACUUUAUUUAGUUUUUUUUAAUGAAAAAUUCAAGCUAUAAUUAUUAUAUGUUCAUAUGCAUGUGGAGAUUUGUAGGAUCUUUUCCUGGUCCAUCCAAAAAGGAAAGAAUCUGUGAACAAAGAUGACAAAUUGGGUAAGGGGGCCUGGAAUUUUUAAAAUGACUUAACAUAGUGUAAUUAGAUAAUUGAUUGCAAUUGACAUUCAUUUCGUGAGAAUAUGCACAAGUGUGGUUAAAUAAACUCCACUUGUUCCCUUUAAACACCCACUAUACAUGUACAUUACAACUUAACUGUAGCAAGUGAUAAACUUUGUAAUUUUAUUGAUCAAUCUGGUACUUUAAAAAUACUGUGAAUAAACUGAAUUGAAUUUAACUGAAAUCAA